This 230-nucleotide ribosomal RNA is filed under the name uncultured bacterium. RNAcentral's name for it is "partial 16S ribosomal RNA". It matches the Rfam family "Bacterial small subunit ribosomal RNA", at positions 522 to 751 of the family's 1533-position model. The record is from RNAcentral.
GACGUAGGGGGCCCGAGCGUUGCUCGGAAUAACUGGGCGUAAAGGGUUCGUAGGCGGUGUGGCAAGUCGGGAGUGAAAUCCUGAGGCUUAACUUCAGGACUGCUACCGAAACUGCCAUGCUCGAGUGCGGGAGAGGCGAGUGGAAUUGCAGGUGUAGCGGUGAAAUGCGUAGAUAUCUGCAGGAACACCAGUGGCGAAGGCGGCUCGCUGGACCGCAACUGACGCUGAGG